This 511-nucleotide long non-coding RNA is filed under the name Salvia miltiorrhiza (redroot sage). RNAcentral describes it as "long non-coding RNA (SMIL_LNC013973)". Lineage: Eukaryota; Viridiplantae; Streptophyta; Magnoliopsida; Lamiales; Lamiaceae. The record is from RNAcentral.
AAUAAAUAUAAUCGAGGUGUGAAUAAUUCAUAGAAAUAAACAAGGGAAAUACCUUGUUAAAACCCGAAAUAGGAUAGAAAGUCAGGCUAGGCCCCUUUGGAUCACAAGUUUUGUUUCAUGCUUCUGACAACCGACGUUCAUUAACAUAAAACUAUAAAUUUUAAAUUGAAGCUCAAAUGAAGUCAUCUUAAGUUGAGAAAACAAAAGAUGUAUAAGAGUAAUUGCUACAGCGGAAGUCUAACAUAGGAAUUUAUCUCUAGCCUCAGCUCCGUCCCGUCAGCACCGGCCAGCCAACCUGAAAACAUUUGAAAGUAUUUUUGGGCUAAGUACUAAUGUACUUAGUGGGCAUGCAUUUUCUUAAACAUUUCAUAUUUUUGUAAAGACAGUUUAUCCAAUCAUACUUGACAUGACUUAGAAGGUUUUAAAUUGAAAGAACUUCUAAGCAUGUUAAAACAUUUUUCAUUUGUGCGCACAUGUCACACUCCCUUUCCGUUACUCGCUGUGAUCCCGG